CGGGGAAUAGCUCAAGUGGUAGAGCGCAUGCUUAGCAUACAUGAGGUCCUGGGUUCAAUCCCCAGUGCCUCCU
Molecule: transfer RNA, 73 nt
Filed under: Camelus bactrianus (Bactrian camel)
Lineage: Eukaryota; Metazoa; Chordata; Mammalia; Artiodactyla; Camelidae
Also listed under: 2 other names
Rfam family: tRNA
About the family: Transfer RNA (tRNA) molecules are approximately 80 nucleotides in length. Their secondary structure includes four short double-helical elements and three loops (D, anti-codon, and T loops). Further hydrogen bonds mediate the characteristic L-shaped molecular structure. tRNAs have two regions of fundamental functional importance: the anti-codon, which is responsible for specific mRNA codon recognition, and the 3' end, to which the tRNAs corresponding amino acid is attached (by aminoacyl-tRNA synthetases). tRNAs cope with the degeneracy of the genetic code in two manners: having more than one tRNA (with a specific anti-codon) for a particular amino acid; and 'wobble' base-pairing, i.e. permitting non-standard base-pairing at the 3rd anti-codon position.
Source: Rfam by way of RNAcentral